UUGCUCUUCCUUAGCUCUUUCGCUCGCUCUUCUUCAGAUCUUCUUCACUGACGCUCUUCUUCUUUGUUGUUGAAGGUUCAGUUCGUCUUCUUCGCCAUUGAAGGUCCAACUCGUCUUCAAUGACGCUCAACACAGCUCUAGAGGUCGAAUCUCAAAGUCAAGAAAGAAGACAUCAACAAACACAAAGAGAGGAGAGGGAGGAAAACAGAGAGUGGGCAGCAAAAAGAGAUGGUAUCACACGUGCAAUGUGGGAUGACUUCAGUGGGCAUAGAAUGAAUGUUUAAUACUUGUAUCUUCUUAUAAGUUGUCUGUUGUUUUUAAUGUGACAUGAAGUAUAGAUUACUGCUUUGUGAUUGAAGUAGUUCUUGUUAAUUCGAACUUGAUUUACCACUCUACAUCAUUGUGAUGUUUCCCUUGUCUCAAUAGCAAAAUGACAAUCUAUUUUUGUGU
This is a long non-coding RNA of Syzygium oleosum, 450 nucleotides long. RefSeq lists it as uncharacterized. The transcript is spliced from 2 exons. The record is from RefSeq and is a predicted model, not a curated record. Lineage: Eukaryota; Viridiplantae; Streptophyta; Magnoliopsida; Myrtales; Myrtaceae.